RNAcentral lists this ribosomal RNA (469 nucleotides) under uncultured bacterium. RNAcentral describes it as "bacterial SSU rRNA". It matches the Rfam family "Bacterial small subunit ribosomal RNA", at positions 329 to 794 of the family's 1533-position model. The record is from RNAcentral.
UUCCAGACUCCUACGGGAGGCAGCAGUGAGGAAUAUUGGUCAAUGGGCGCGAGCCUGAACCAGCCAAGUCGCGUGAGGGAGGACGGCCCUACGGGUUGUAAACCUCUUUUGCCGGGGAGCAACGGGCGUCACGUGUGGCGCCACUGAGAGUACCCGGAGAAAAAGCAUCGGCUAACUCCGUGCCAGCAGCCGCGGUAAUACGGAGGAUGCGAGCGUUAUCCGGAUUUACUGGGUGUAAAGGGAGCGCAGGCGGCACGGCAAGCCUGAUGUGAAAGCCCGCGGCCCAACCGCGGGACUGCAUUGGGAACUACCGGGCUGGAGUGCCGGAGAGGUAGGCGGAAUUCCUAGUGUAGCGGUGAAAUGCGUAGAUAUUAGGAGGAACACCAGUGGCGAAGGCGGCCUACUGGACGGUGACUGACGCUGAGGCUCGAAAGCGUGGGGAGCAAACAGGAUUAGAUACCCCCGUAGA